This 254-nucleotide ribosomal RNA is filed under the name uncultured bacterium. RNAcentral's name for it is "partial 16S ribosomal RNA". It matches the Rfam family "Bacterial small subunit ribosomal RNA", at positions 524 to 776 of the family's 1533-position model. The record is from RNAcentral.
UACGGGGGGAGCAAGCGUUGUUCGGAUUUACUGGGCGUAAAGGGCGCGCAGGCGGUCGUGACAAGUCACUUGUGAAAUCUCCGGGCUUAACUCGGAACGGUCAAGUGAUACUGUCGGACUAGAGUACAGAAGGGGCAACUGGAAUUCUCGGUGUAGCGGUGAAAUGCGUAGAUAUCGAGAGGAACACCUGCGGCGAAGGCGGGUUGCUGGGCUGAUACUGACGCUGAGGCGCGAAAGCCAGGGGAGCGAACGGG